GAAAUGCGAUAAGUAGUGUGAAUUGCAGAAUACAGUGAAUCAUCGAAUCUUUGAACGCACAUUGCGCCCUAUGGUAUUCCGUAGGGCAUGCCUGUUCGAGCGUCAUUUACACCUUCAAGCCUUGCUUGGUGUUGGGUGACUGUGGCCCCUUUGGGGCCACUCGCCUUAAAGUCAUUGGCGGCCGGUUCGUUGGCUUUGUAGCGCAGCACAAUUGCGUCCUCGAAGCCGCUGGACCAGCUCCCAGAAGCUAAUUUUAAAUGUUUGACCUCGAAUCAGGUAGGGAUACCCGCUGAACUUAAGC
RNAcentral lists this unclassified non-coding RNA (301 nucleotides) under plant metagenome. Its description in RNAcentral is "partial contains 5.8S ribosomal RNA, internal transcribed spacer 2, and large subunit ribosomal RNA". The stretch from base 1 to 105 matches the Rfam family "5.8S ribosomal RNA", at positions 50 to 154 of the family's 154-position model. The record is from RNAcentral.